Hibiscus syriacus is the source of this 102-nucleotide long non-coding RNA. RefSeq lists it as uncharacterized. NCBI's taxonomy places the organism in Eukaryota, Viridiplantae, Streptophyta, Magnoliopsida, Malvales, Malvaceae. The record is from RefSeq and is a predicted model, not a curated record. The transcript is spliced from 3 exons.
AUGAAGGUGCUGCACUCUAUUAAAAAGUGUGUAUUUAGAAUUGCCCUUGUUCACCCAAUGGUUUACUUCAAUGUAAUUGAUAUUGAGAGUGAGGCUGAGCUU